RNAcentral lists this unclassified non-coding RNA (240 nucleotides) under soil metagenome. Its description in RNAcentral is "partial contains 5.8S ribosomal RNA, internal transcribed spacer 2, and large subunit ribosomal RNA". The record is from RNAcentral.
AACGCACGAGACCUGCGGACCUGCGGAGGGAUCAUUACAGAGUUACUAAACUCCCAACCCUAUGUGUACCUACCACUAUUGCUUCGGCGGGCUGCUGCUACCCUGUAGCUACCCUGUAAUUCAGGGUGGACUUUCCUGGUAGUUCGCGUAAAGGCCCGUCAGAGGACCAUAAAACUCUUGUUACCCUGAAGGUAUUUCUGAAUGCUUCAACUUAAUAAGUUAAAACUUUUAACAAUGGAU